AACGAACGCUGGCGGCAGGCUUAACACAUGCAAGUCGAACGAGUGUAGUAAUACACUAGUGGCGCACGGGUGCGUAACGCGUGGGAACCUUCCUCGUAGUUCGGAAUAACUCAGGGAAACUUGGGCUAAUACCGAAUGCCUCCUUCGGGAGAAAGAUUUAUCGCUACGAGAUGGGGCCCGCGUCAGAUUAGGUAGUUGGUAGGGUAAUGGCCUACCAAGCCGACGAUCUGUAGCUGGGUCNGAGAGGAUGAUCAGCCACACUGGGACUGAGACACGGCCCAGACUCCUACGGGAGGCAGCAGUGGGG
RNAcentral lists this ribosomal RNA (307 nucleotides) under uncultured bacterium. RNAcentral describes it as "bacterial SSU rRNA". It matches the Rfam family "Bacterial small subunit ribosomal RNA", at positions 29 to 359 of the family's 1533-position model. The record is from RNAcentral.